Molecule: ribosomal RNA, 270 nt
Filed under: uncultured archaeon
Lineage: Archaea
Description: partial 16S ribosomal RNA
Rfam family: Archaeal small subunit ribosomal RNA
Source: RNAcentral
CCGCAGCCCUAGUGGUGAUCGCUAUUAUUGAGCCUAAAGCGUCCGUAGCCGGCUUGAUAAAUCCUUGGGUAAAUCGGGCAGCUCAACUGUCCGAAGUCCGAGGUGACUGUCAAGCUUGGAACCGGAAGAGGUCAGAGGUACUCCAGGGGUAGGGGUGAAAUCCUGUAAUCCUUUGGGGACCACCAGUGGCGAAGGCGUCUGACUAGAACGGAUCCGACGGUAAGGGACGAAACCCUGGGGCGCGAACCGGAUUAGAUACCCGAGUAGUCC